GGGGAGGUGGAGCUUGAGCGUGUGCGAUAGUACCCGAAAGAUGGUGAACUAUGC
RNAcentral lists this ribosomal RNA (54 nucleotides) under Mora moro. RNAcentral's name for it is "partial 28S ribosomal RNA". The record is from RNAcentral. Lineage: Eukaryota; Metazoa; Chordata; Actinopteri; Gadiformes; Moridae.